UCGCUGAUAAAUAGCAUUAAGUACAAACCAAAAUAUCAAGUAGUCGGUUAAUAACAUUUCAAUUAAAAACAAUAAAAUAAAUAAAGUGCAGGCAUUUGUCUUUAAGGUGGACAAUGUGUAUUCACAGAACUUAAGCGAAGAAAGACAAAAUAUAAUAAUAUAAAGGAUAUAAUAAUAUAAAGGACACGAAGAUCAUUGGCAUCAACGGAGAAUUACAGUGAUGAUGAAAAUGUAGCUAUUUGACCAAUGACGACUAUAUGCCGAUAUUGCAUGCGUUGAAGUUCAAAAAAGAAAGAUUUUGUAUCACCAAUCGAAAUCUUACAUAAAACGAAGCCAUCUGGUGGCGAAACGAAGUUCGCCGGGUUCCUAGUAUUAUAUAUGUAUAUAAAGGUCAUCAACCUUCGUGUAGUAGUACAAUUAACGAAAAUUACAUUAGACAACAAAGAUGAUUGAAAUAUAAUUUGCGAAUUCGUUGUUGCAAUUAUCGAACCAGA
Long non-coding RNA from Drosophila serrata, 494 nucleotides. The record is from RefSeq and is a predicted model, not a curated record. NCBI's taxonomy places the organism in Eukaryota, Metazoa, Arthropoda, Insecta, Diptera, Drosophilidae.